GCCUUGGCAGUCAGAGGCGAUGAAGGACGUUGUAGCCUGCGAAAAGCUUCGGGGAGUCGGCAAACAGACUUUGAUCCGGAGGUGUCCGAAUGGGGAAACCCACUCAACGCAAGUUGGGUAUCCGUAACUGAAUACAUAGGUUGCGGAGGCGAACUCAGGGAACUGAAACAUCUAAGUACCUGAAGGAACAGAAAUCAAUUGAGAUUCCCCCAGUAGCGGCGAGCGACCGGGGAGGAGCCUGCACGUGAUAGCAGUGAGGUUAGUGGAACGGUCUGGAAAGUCCGGCGAUAGAGGGUGAUAGCCCCGUACACGAAAACCUUGCAGUGGUACUGAGCGUGCGACAAGUAGGUCGGGACACGAGAUAUCCUGACUGAAGAUGGGGGGACCAUCCUCCAAGGCU
RNAcentral lists this ribosomal RNA (400 nucleotides) under Prasinoderma coloniale. RNAcentral's name for it is "partial Bacterial large subunit ribosomal RNA". It matches the Rfam family "Bacterial large subunit ribosomal RNA", at positions 31 to 467 of the family's 2925-position model. Lineage: Eukaryota; Viridiplantae; Prasinodermophyta; Prasinodermophyceae; Prasinodermales; Prasinodermaceae. The record is from RNAcentral.